Molecule: transfer RNA, 72 nt
Filed under: Heterocephalus glaber (naked mole-rat)
Lineage: Eukaryota; Metazoa; Chordata; Mammalia; Rodentia; Bathyergidae
Rfam family: tRNA
About the family: Transfer RNA (tRNA) molecules are approximately 80 nucleotides in length. Their secondary structure includes four short double-helical elements and three loops (D, anti-codon, and T loops). Further hydrogen bonds mediate the characteristic L-shaped molecular structure. tRNAs have two regions of fundamental functional importance: the anti-codon, which is responsible for specific mRNA codon recognition, and the 3' end, to which the tRNAs corresponding amino acid is attached (by aminoacyl-tRNA synthetases). tRNAs cope with the degeneracy of the genetic code in two manners: having more than one tRNA (with a specific anti-codon) for a particular amino acid; and 'wobble' base-pairing, i.e. permitting non-standard base-pairing at the 3rd anti-codon position.
Source: Rfam by way of RNAcentral
AAAAAUGUAGCUCAGUGGGAGAGCAUUUGCCUAACAAGUAGGAGGCCCUAGGUUCAAUCCCCAGCUGAUUAA